UUUACAGGCCACAUUGGUGCUGCCUUUAAAGGUGAACCUGCAUGAACAUACCACACAUCCAUGGGAGGCAGUGCAUGGAAGGCAGUGCAUUGGAGGCAGUGCAUUGGCUUGGUUUCAAGUGUUUUAUUUGAAGGCAGUCAACAGACUGAAUCCAACAGAGUCAGGAAAAGCAGAGCAACAUCUCACAGAUACGUCCUUUUUUAAUCCACUUCUGUCAUCAGAGAGUACAUUCCAUACAAGAACACAGUUCUGGACAGAGAAGCAGAAGUGGCAACAUCAGCCGGUUUGGUCCGGUUCUAAUCACUUCUUACGACAAACAAAGUGAAGGUAUAUAAAGUCUGUGUUUCCAUCUCUGAGACAUCCUGUGACCAGAAACUGCUGCUGGAACAGACUCUUCAACUAACCAUCAGAACAAGAUGGCUGCCGGUCUUCUCUUCUCUCUGCUUCUUGGUCUGACCUUUGGACUCUGGGAUGGA
Poeciliopsis prolifica (blackstripe livebearer) is the source of this 476-nucleotide long non-coding RNA. RefSeq lists it as uncharacterized. The record is from RefSeq and is a predicted model, not a curated record. The transcript has 3 exons. NCBI's taxonomy places the organism in Eukaryota, Metazoa, Chordata, Actinopteri, Cyprinodontiformes, Poeciliidae.